RNAcentral lists this ribosomal RNA (438 nucleotides) under uncultured bacterium. Its description in RNAcentral is "partial 16S ribosomal RNA". It matches the Rfam family "Bacterial small subunit ribosomal RNA", at positions 339 to 795 of the family's 1533-position model. The record is from RNAcentral.
CUACGGGAGCUCCAGUGGGGAAUAUUGCACAAUGGGGGAAACCCUGAUGCAGCAACGCCGCGUGGAGGAUGACGCAUUUCGGUGUGUAAACUCCUUUUAUAUAGGAAGAUAAUGACGGUACUAUAUGAAUAAGCACCGGCUAACUCCGUGCCAGCAGCCGCGGUAAUACGGAGGGUGCAAGCGUUACUCGGAAUCACUGGGCGUAAAGCGCGCGCAGGCGGCCUUUUAAGUUGGAUGUGAAAGCCUAUGGCUUAACCAUAGAACUGCAUCCAAAACUAUCAGGCUAGAGUCUGGGAGGGGAAGAUGGAAUUAGUUGUGUAGGGGUAAAAUCCGUAGAGAUAACUAGGAAUACCAAAAGCGAAGGCGAUCUUCUGGAACAGUACUGACGCUGAGGCGCGAAAGCGUGGGAAGCAAACAGGAUUAGAUACCCCCGUAGUC